RNAcentral lists this ribosomal RNA (465 nucleotides) under Vreelandella stevensii. RNAcentral's name for it is "partial 16S ribosomal RNA". It matches the Rfam family "Bacterial small subunit ribosomal RNA", at positions 338 to 795 of the family's 1533-position model. The record is from RNAcentral. Lineage: Bacteria; Pseudomonadati; Pseudomonadota; Gammaproteobacteria; Oceanospirillales; Halomonadaceae.
CCUACGGGUGGCUGCAGUGGGGAAUAUUGGACAAUGGGCGAAAGCCUGAUCCAGCCAUGCCGCGUGUGUGAAGAAGGCCUUCGGGUUGUAAAGCACUUUCAGUGGGGAAGAAAGCCUUGGGGCUAAUACCCUCGAGGAAGGACAUCACCCACAGAAGAAGCACCGGCUAACUCCGUGCCAGCAGCCGCGGUAAUACGGAGGGUGCGAGCGUUAAUCGGAAUUACUGGGCGUAAAGCGCGCGUAGGUGGUCUGAUAAGCCGGUUGUGAAAGCCCCGGGCUCAACCUGGGAACGGCAUCCGGAACUGUCAGGCUAGAGUGCAGGAGAGGAAGGUAGAAUUCCCGGUGUAGCGGUGAAAUGCGUAGAGAUCGGGAGGAAUACCAGUGGCGAAGGCGGCCUUCUGGACUGACACUGACGCUGAGGUGCGAAAGCGUGGGUAGCAAACAGGAUUAGAUACCCCAGUAGUC